RNAcentral lists this ribosomal RNA (253 nucleotides) under uncultured bacterium. RNAcentral describes it as "partial 16S ribosomal RNA". It matches the Rfam family "Bacterial small subunit ribosomal RNA", at positions 524 to 776 of the family's 1533-position model. The record is from RNAcentral.
UACAGAGGUCUCAAGCGUUGUUCGGAUUCAUUGGGCGUAAAGGGUGCGUAGGUGGCGCGUUAAGUCAGGUGUGAAAUUCGGAGCUUAACUCCGAAACUGCAUUUGAUACUGGCGUGCUUGAGGACUGGAGAGGAGACUGGAAUUCAUGGUGUAGCAGUGAAAUGCGUAGAGAUCAUGAGGAAGACCAGUGGCGAAGGCGGGUCUCUGGACAGUUCCUGACACUGAGGCACGGAAGGCCAGGGGAGCAAACGGG